GACGAACGCUGGCGGUAUGCUUAACACAUGCAAGUCGAACGGACUUAUUAGAGCUUGCUUUAAUAAGUUAGUGGCAAACGGGUGAGUAACACGUGGGAAUCUACCCAUCAGUACGGAAUAACAUUUGGAAACAAAUGCUAAUACCGUAUAUUCUCUACGGAGGAAAGAUUUAUCGCUGAUGGAUGAGCCCGCGUUAGAUUAGGUAGUUGGUAGGGUAAUGGCCUACCAAGCCGACGAUCUAUAGCUGGUCUGAGAGGAUGAUCAGCCACACUGGGACUGAGACACGGCCCAGACUCCUACGGGAGGCAGCAGUGGGGAAUAUUGGACAAUGGGCGAAAGCCUGAUCCAGCAAUACCGCGUGAGUGAUGAAGGCCUUAGGGUU
Molecule: ribosomal RNA, 382 nt
Filed under: uncultured bacterium
Lineage: Bacteria
Description: bacterial SSU rRNA
Rfam family: Bacterial small subunit ribosomal RNA
Source: RNAcentral